GGGAGUGUAGCUUAGUGGCAGAGCAUUCGACUGCAGAUCGAGAGGUCGAUGGUUCAAAUCCGCCCGCUCCUU
This 72-nucleotide transfer RNA is filed under the name Paramuricea clavata. It matches the Rfam family "tRNA". From Rfam's summary of the family: Transfer RNA (tRNA) molecules are approximately 80 nucleotides in length. Their secondary structure includes four short double-helical elements and three loops (D, anti-codon, and T loops). The record is from Rfam by way of RNAcentral. Lineage: Eukaryota; Metazoa; Cnidaria; Anthozoa; Malacalcyonacea; Plexauridae.